RNAcentral lists this ribosomal RNA (458 nucleotides) under uncultured bacterium. RNAcentral's name for it is "partial 16S ribosomal RNA". It matches the Rfam family "Bacterial small subunit ribosomal RNA", at positions 338 to 795 of the family's 1533-position model. The record is from RNAcentral.
CCUACGGGCGGCAGCAGUGAGGAAUAUUGGUCAAUGGGCGAGAGCCUGAACCAGCCAAGUCGCGUGAGGGAGUACUGCCCCAUGGGUUGUAAACCUCUUUUGUCGGGGAGCAAAAGCCGGACGUGUCCGGCUGUGAGAGUACCCGAAGAAAAAGCAUCGGCUAACUCCGUGCCAGCAGCCGCGGUAAUACGGAGGAUGCGAGCGUUAUCCGGAUUUAUUGGGUUUAAAGGGUGCGCAGGCGGAUUUUUAAGUCAGCGGUAAAAUCGUGGGGCUCAACCCCAUCCAGCCGUUGAAACUGGGGAUCUAGAGUGUGCGAGAGGUAUGCGGAAUGCGUGGUGUAGCGGUGAAAUGCAUAGAUAUCACGCAGAACCCCGAUUGCGAAGGCAGCAUACCGGUGCACAACUGACGCUCAGGCACGAAAGCGUGGGUAUCGAACAGGAUUAGAUACCCCUGUAGUC